Molecule: ribosomal RNA, 422 nt
Filed under: Selenomonas sp. oral taxon D96
Lineage: Bacteria; Bacillati; Bacillota; Negativicutes; Selenomonadales; Selenomonadaceae
Description: bacterial SSU rRNA
Rfam family: Bacterial small subunit ribosomal RNA
Source: RNAcentral
GACGAACGCUGGCGGCGUGCUUAACACAUGCAAGUCGAACGGAGCGAAUGAAAGCUUGCUUUUAUGAGCUUAGUGGCAAACGGGUGAGUAACACGUAGACAACCUGCCGACAGGAUGGGGACAACAUUUCGAAAGGAAUGCUAAUACCGAAUGAAGUCAGAGAAGGGCAUCCUCUUCUGAUGAAAGAUGGCCUCUGAACAUGCUAUCACCUGUCGAUGGGUCUGCGUCUGAUUAGCUAGUUGGUGAGGUAACGGCUCACCAAGGCGACGAUCAGUAGCCGGUCUGAGAGGAUGAACGGCCACAUUGGGACUGAGACACGGCCCAGACUCCUACGGGAGGCAGCAGUGGGGAAUCUUUCCGCAAUGGGCGCAAGCCCUGACGGAGCAAACGCCCGCGUGAGUGAAGAAGGUCUUUCGGAUUCG